GAAUCUUAGAGCAACAUAAGCAGACACAAUUGACUGGAACUGUGAUUUUUUGUGACAAUACUUCCUCAAUCAAGCUUUCAAAAAAUCUUGUCAUGUAUGGUAGAUGCAAACAUAUAGAUGUCAGAUAUCAUUUUCUCAGAGAUUUGAACAAAGAUGGAACUGUGCAGAUGAGUUUCUGCUCAUCACAAGAUCAGAUAGCAGAUAUCAUGACCAAAGCAUUGAAGCUAGAAACAUUCUGCAAUUUGAGAGCUAAAUUGGGAAUGUGUUAUUUGAUUGAAGUAACUAGAUGAUGAUGUGUUUGUAAUCUGUACUUUAAACAAGUUCAGAUUAGGAGAGGAUGUUAAGCAAUGUAAAAGCACCAUUAAUGGCUUCCAUUCACAAAUCGUUCGAUCCUUCAACAAUAAAUCAUUCUCAGAAAUCCUUCAUUUCAGAAUUGUUCAAUCGAGUUUCAGAAUCGUUCAACCCUAGUUUCAUUUCAACAAAGCUUCGAUUCAAUUUCUCAGAAAUCCUUCAUUUCAGCAUCAUUCAACUUGAAUUGUUCAAUUGAGUUUCAAAAUCGUUCAACCCUAGUUUCAACAAAGCUUCGAUUCAGCUUCUCAGAAAUCCUUCAUUUCAGCAUCGUUCAACUUCAGAGUUGUUCAAUUGUGUUUCAGUUAUCUCAUUCGGAAUCGUUCACGGUUCAUCACUCAUUUAACCUUCAAAUUCUUCGUUGGUAAUUAGACUUAGGUAUUUCAAACUUUCCGACGGCCGCAAUGUUGAGACAAAGCUAAUAUGAACAGAGCUAAUAUGAAAUGAUUAAUUCACACUGUAAUGAGCUUUUCAAUGUUGAGAUUUUGGAGGAAGGUAGUGGAAUAAAGAAUCGUGUUGUUUGACAUAGAUCAAAGCUCGAACUUUACACAGAGUGUAACAGGAUCUCAUCUUGGGCAUGCGGUUUUACACGAACUGUUGUUCUUCAAUAUCUCAUCUUGGGCCUGCGGUUUUACACGAACUGUUGUUCUUCAAUGAUUCUAUCCUGGUGUUACUGAUGCAUUAAAAUUUGCAAGCACAAGAGUGUACAAUGUACAUUGUCACCACAAAACAGUUUAGCAGCGGUAGUACAAAGAUAGGACCUCGUAAGAAUUCAAUGACUUAUGCAGAGAAAGGAGUGCUUCAUUUUGGGUUGUGAACAUGUUUGUUCUUUCUGAUUAAUAAAUUGGUAAUUAGGUAUAUAUUUUGAUUAUUCAAAUUAGGUAUUCCAAUUAUUUAUUCAUGUGAGUGUUUUGGUAGAUUUGUAUGUUUUGAUUACAUCAACCGACAUUACUAUAAGCUUUUGACGAAAAUUAGUAAUAUGACCAAAAUGCUCAAACAUGUUUGACUAAUUUCCUUUGGUGGCUAAUCUCUAAUGAGAAUAACAUCUUUAUAUGAGAAUGAUUGGAAAGUGAAAGUGUCGAAAUGCAAAGUGAAUUGUGAAUGAAUGUUAAGGACCUUUUUCAACAACUUAGAAUAAUUCUACUAGAUGCAACUGUGUUUAAUAUUAAUAUUAUCAAUCUAGUACUUUUACUUAAACCUUUAAUUCCAAUCCAAUAUUCUUGUUCAGAUUCACAAAAGCUUGAACUAAGAACACCUUUCUGAUUGAUACCCUGUUCAUAAUGUUAGCUACACUUAUCCACACAUUGUAGUAACUGAUCCAUGUGUUUGAGUUUCAAGAUGGCUUUGUGAAUAGCAUGGACUAUCACCUGAACGAAAAGACAGUUGGAAAGCAUCUAACCAUGAUUUUGAGGAGAAAUAUGCAUUCCUCUUGACCAAGAGAUGUCAUUACCGGCUUUUCAAAACUUCACAACCAUUACUAGUUUUGAACAACUCCACCGCGUAAGAGCGGUCAACACCAACUCUACUCAACCAUUUUGUCAUAGCUUAGACAAAUUUUGAAUUGGAGUUUCUUAAUGAUUAAUACGUUUUGAUGAUUUGAUUUA
Molecule: long non-coding RNA, 1952 nt
Organism: Trifolium pratense (red clover)
Lineage: Eukaryota; Viridiplantae; Streptophyta; Magnoliopsida; Fabales; Fabaceae
Exons: 8
Source: RefSeq, a predicted model, not a curated record